UGGGAAUUUGGACAAUGGGCGAAGCCUGAUCCAGCAAUGCCGCGUGUGUGAAGAAGGCCUUCGGGUUGUAAAGCACUUUUGUCCGGAAAGAAAUCCUUGGCUCUAAUACAGUCGGGGGAUGACGGUACCGGAAGAAUAAGCACCGGCUAACUACGUGCCAGCAGCCGCGGUAAUACGUAGGGUGCAAGCGUUAAUCGGAAUUACUGGGCGUAAAGCGUGCGCAGGCGGUUUGCUAAGACCGAUGUGAAAUCCCCGGGCUCAACCUGGGAACUGCAUUGGUGACUGGCAGGCUAGAGUAUGGCAGAGGGGGGUAGAAUUCCACGUGUAGCAGUGAAAUGCGUAGAGAUGUGGAGGAAUACCGAUGGCGAAGGCAGCCCCCUGGGCCAAUACUGACGCUCAUGCACGAAAAGCGUGGGGGAGCAAAACAGGAUUAGAUACCCUGGUAGUCCACGCCCUAAAACGAUGUCAACUAGUUGUUGGGGAUUCAUUUCCUUAGUAACGUAGCUAACGCGUGAAGUUGACCGCCUGGGGAGUACGGUCGCAAGAUUAAAACUUAAAGGAAUUGACGGGGUCAUA
This 576-nucleotide ribosomal RNA is filed under the name uncultured bacterium. Its description in RNAcentral is "partial 16S ribosomal RNA". It matches the Rfam family "Bacterial small subunit ribosomal RNA", at positions 357 to 923 of the family's 1533-position model. The record is from RNAcentral.